Long non-coding RNA from Lethenteron reissneri (Far Eastern brook lamprey), 4168 nucleotides. RefSeq lists it as uncharacterized. NCBI's taxonomy places the organism in Eukaryota, Metazoa, Chordata, Hyperoartia, Petromyzontiformes, Petromyzontidae. The record is from RefSeq and is a predicted model, not a curated record.
AUUCCCAUCACUUAGCUGGCUAGCCCCUUCUGGAAAAUAAUCUUGAGGUCUUUGAUGAUGGUGGCGAUAGUGGUGGUGGUGAUGAUGAUGAUGGUGGGAUCUCUCUUCAUCUUUACAACAGAGGUUAAUGCAGCAGUCUGCUCCACUCCAUUCAGCAGCACGUUCAAGGACGUUUCGGCGUCCCCCGGAGGGAUCCUCAUCGGCGUUGGGGGCAACAGAGACGUCAGCAUCUGGUCCGGUUGUUCUUGGCGAUCAAUGGGGGCGAUGUUUGAUCAGAUAUCGACCGGUGGCCGAGGACGGGGUGCCGCAACAUCGAGCGGAGACCUCUACGCGUGGGCGAGAACCGACGCCGGGAGCAGUGUACUACUACCAUCGAUAUGCGUGGUACCACGUUAUGUCUGGCGUACAGUCAUUCACGGGCGGAGCACCGGGCUACAUCUACGCCACCGGCUACAAGGAUGGCUAUUGGAGCGUCUUCUGCGCCAGGGCGCCUGCGCCUGGCGAGCACCUGUCCUGGUUGACGGCUUCGUUAAGUCUCCUGCAAAUUUUCGCCGACGUCUACGCCGUAGGUUGCUCGUCCGACGAAUGUUGGGCCUGCGACGCCUUGUACCGGCUGUGGCGUAAGCCCAACAUUGACUGCGCCAACACGACGUGGGUGAGGGCGAGUGGUCCAGACGCUCCGGCUUUGCCCAGGAAAAUAGAGGUGGACUCCGCGGGUGGAGUCUAUCUCCAAGCAAACAAUGGGCAACUCUACCACAGGGCUGUACAUCAAACGACGUGGACUCAGCCAAUGCUCAAUGGAAACUUCAAGUCCUUCACUGUCCACGAAUCUAACCUUAUCUUAUUAAACGCCGGUGGGAUCUUGAAGUUAUGCAAACUGUAACACCAUUAUUCGCUCACCCACCCACUCACUCACCUUUUCGCCCCCUUUCCCUCCAACUCACCCACCUACUCACCCACCUUCUCACUCAACCUCCCACUCAUACACCCACCCACUCUUUCACCGACCUAUUCACUCACCCACCUACUCCCUCACCCACUUUCUCACCCACCCACUCUCUCACCCAUCCAUUAUCUCACCCUCUCGCCUAUCCAGUCAUCCACUCACUCUCUCAGCCACUCACCCAUUCAUCCACCCACUCACCCAUCUACUUAUCCACCCACUCAAUCAGACACUGACCGUCCCAUUCACCGACGUACCCACUCACUCACCCACUCAUUCAUUCACCCAUCCACCCACUCACUCACCAAUUCCCCCACUCACCCACCCACCCACUCACUCACCCUCCCACUCAUCCACCCACCCACUAACCUACCCAGGUGAUAGAUAUGUGGUGGUGGUGAGUUCUUUUAUUUUUGUUGUGUUUUAAGAUUAAAUUUAACAAAAUAAGAACAUUCAACAAAGAGUGGAACCUAUGGAACUUCAAUGGAGAGUCAUUCAGCAGCCUUUACAGAGACACCUCGAUAUACAAAGAUGUGAUCUGCCUCGUCUGGUAUGCCGGAGGUCCUGGGUGAUGGUGGUGAUGGUGGUGGUGACGGGGGUGAUAGCGAUGGUGAUUGUGAUGGUGGUAGUUAUGGUGGUGGUCGUAGUCAUGGUGGUGGUGAUGUGGAUGAUGGUGAUGGUGGCGGAGAGGGUGGUAAAAUAUGUUAUUGUAGGUAAUUAAGUGUGAUUAACAAAAAUUAUGCGUUAGGUGUAUUUAACAAUGUGAUAAAAUGUGUUAUAUGAUUAAUGUAUGUGUUUUUAUUUGUACAUGCCUAAACAACUUUUGUUCAGCCGGAUAGAGGGGGCUAAACAGGCGCGGCACGGGCAGAGAAGAGAUGGAGUGAUGAGGUACAGAAGUAUGUGGAGCUGAGUGGAUUUGCCGAUGACUGGUACCAGCGGUGUCAAGAUCGGCCUCUGUGGAGGAGGCUCGUGAAGGACGCUGCUGGGCAGUUGGAGGCAGCCGCCCUCCAACAACAACGGAGGGCAGAGGAGUGACGCCCACAACAACGAGCGGAGCUCCGGUUGGCUAAAGCACAGCAAGUUGGCACAGUAGGGGGCACAGGUAGUGCAUCAGCCAAUCAUCUUGGUCAUCUCAGUCAGUCGACCCGUGGCACCUGUGUCUGCGCAGUGACCUCCUGCCAGCGGGCGUUCGACACUUCACGUGGCCUCAAGGUGUACAUGGCCUGACACAAGUGUCGUGGUGACGUCACCGCCACUUAGUGGCGAAUGGCGGUUGUUGUUGUUGUAUGUGUCGUUAUUAUGUUGUGCGAUUUAUUAUUGGCUCUCUCAUUGUCUAGGGGUAUGCAUUACUGAUCGAGAUAAUCUCAAUGAUUCUCGUUUCAAUAUAUAUAUGAUAGUCGCUUCAACAUUUAUGAUUCUUGCUUCAGCAUUUAUGAUUCACACUUUAAUAGUUACAUGUGAAAUUAUGUCAGGUCUUCAGGAUUCAGAUCUCAUCGCCGGAUACUGUUCGUUAUUAUGACAAUGACGGACGAAUUUAGUAAAUAAGCACUCGCAAAUCUGUUUUUCAUCUAAGCAACUUCAAUCUCAACUUAACUUCAUAUCCAACAACUCUUAUCAUCAGUAUUCCAACAGUGCCCAUGCAAAUAUACAUAAUCAAUCCGUACUGGAUGAUCAUAAAAGCAUCUCACGAUCACGUGGUUAAACCAGAACAAUAGGCAACACGAACACCACCUCCUCUUCGGGUUCCCAUUAAAAUUUCUGAUUUUUAUCAGUUAGCACGUGCAGUGGUUUAGCGAGCGUAGCAAACUGUGGAACAAACCGAAGGUAGUACAACACGAACCCAACAAAACUCCAUACAUCCCCGACGCAUGUAGAGGUCGGCCAGUCGCGAACACAAGCCGUCUUGUCCAGAUCCGUGGCGAUACUGUCAGAGCUCACAAUGUGAACCAGGUACCGCAUUGAACGUUGAAACAGAUGACAUUUCUUAGGUUUAAAUUUGAGGUUAGCGAAGCGCAUUCUCUCAAAAACGGCAGGCAAGCUUCGGAGGUGUUCCUCGAACGUGCGACUGAACACAAUAAUAUCAUGAAAAUAUAUGAGGCAAGUGUCCCAUUGCAAUCCAGCCAAAACGAGCUCCAUCAAGCAUUGGAACGUGGUGGGAGCGGAAUUCAAUCCUAUCGGAAGACAGUUGUAUUGAAAGAGUCCCUGAGGCAUGCGGAAUGCGGUCCUCGGCUUUGAAGAGUCGUCCAGGGGCAACUGCCAAAACCCGAAAGACAAAUCGAGAGUCGAGAAAUACCGCGCUCCCAACAGCGAAUCGAGGGAGUCAUCCAUUUACGUAUGGGUAUACGCGUCAGCCAUUGACACCUUAUUAAGUUUGCAGAAAUCAACACAGUAUCUGAGAUUGCCAUCCUUCUUCUUGACAAGAACAGCCAGUGCCCCCCACGGGCUGUUAGACAAAGAAAUUAUAUCAAUGGCCAGCAUAUCGUUCACCGUGUUCUGCACUCGUUCCUUCUCCGUAGGGCUCAAGCGGUGGGAAUUUUGCCGAUAUAGGGCUGGUCUCCCUGGUAUCAAUGUGGUGGGACAAAAGAAACGUGCGACCCAAAUCGAAAUCAUCUUUACUAAAGACAUCAGCAAACUCGGUAAACAGCGCACGCAGCCCCACACGUUGGUCGGCGGACAACGACAAAUUCUCACGGCAUAGUUCAGUGAUCCAAUGAUGGGCCGACAAUGAACCCGGACAAGUCAAACUCACCACCUGGCAGGACACGUCCUCGUCGUGAUCCGUAAAAGCGGCAGCAGCAUGAGCCAGCACCAUACCCACAAGGACCAGAACCCCUUCCGGGCCCCCAUUUAGAACCUGAAAAAAUGGGGCCUGUCCAGAACGGACAAUCGUCUGAGUGCCAAUAAGAAACAAAACCCAUGGUAGAAGCGUUAGAGGGAGACGAAAGGAUUCCAGCGUAAUUAUCCGAAAUAUUACUAUUUUAUGUAUUUAUGCGCAUACUUUAUGCUAAUUAGAGAGGUAGCCUUGAUUGGUUAUGCUAAAGUAUGGGAUUAUGCUAAUGUAUAUAGUUAUGAUCGUUAUGCUUUGCUUCGUUGUCUAGGGUUGUAUUAUCAGUCGGGACAAUACAAUGAAUUGUAUUAAGUUAUGCAAGUGUGAUGAAAUUAUGCUAAAUUAAGCUCAGCUUCGUUGUCUAGGGUGGUAUUAUCAAUUGGGAUAAUACAAUUAUU